GUAAGACACAUGCACUCCAGAAGGAGGGAGAUGAACUCCAGAAAAUUCAAGUAAUUGGCAACUCAGUAAAGUUUCUCUACAGCCCAUGGUCAGGUACAUGCCAGGACAUUCCCUUCAAAGUAAAGGACAGAUUGCUGCAUCACGUAUCCACUACUAAAAUGAAGGAAGCACAAUGACUGUUAAGCCACCUUGGGCUUUGGAAGCAACACAUUCCACACAUAGGAAAACUGCUCCAGCCCAUAUGGAAGGUGCCAGCUUUGAGUAGGGCUCAGGGGAGAGAAUCGCUCUGCAGCAGGUGCUGGCUGCAAGAACAAAAAUCUCAGCACAUUCUAUGAUAUUUGAGAUAUCAGUAGUAGAAAAAGAUACGGUGUGAAGUUUAUGGCAAGGCCCAGUGUAAGAAUCACAACCCAGGCUUCUGGGGUGAUGGAGCAAGGUCACACCAUAUGCAGCAGAGGAUUAAAUAUCUUUUGUUAAACAGCUCCUAGCAUGCUAAUGGGCCCUGAUAGAGCUGGAACGCUUGACGUUGGGAUACCAAGUGAUCCUGACUCUGGAAUUGCUCAUCGUGAGUUGGGAACAGUCAUAAAGUAAGAUAGGCCCAGUAGCAAUCCAUCAUAAGAUGGAAAUGGUACAUCUGGGACUGAGCAUGAGCAGGAAGAGAUCACAUUACAAGAAGCAUGAGCAGUGGGUCCAGAAUCCCAUGGCAUCCAUCAUGUCCCAUCGUGGCUUCCAUUGUGUAGCAGUGUCCCUCCUCAGCUCACAGUGAAGACCAUAUGGGCCUCCCAUCCAACCAGCUGAAGGAAGAAGAAAAACUCCUAGCUUGGUUUACAGAUGGGUUGAUUUGGUAUGUGGGUGAAAACCAAAAGUGGAUGUUGUCUGCAUUAUAGCCUUACUCAAACCAAAAGUGGAUGCUGUCUGCAUUAUAACCUUACUCACGAUUGGCUUUGAAAGACAGUAAUGAGAACUGUUUGAAAGACAGAUCUUCCCAACGGGCAGAGCUUCUGGAGGUGCAGCUGGUCACCCACUUUGUGUGAAACAAGUGGCCAAAAGUCAAAACGUACAUGGACUCAUGGACAAUGGUGAAUGGUCAUGGGCUGGAAGGAGAAAAAUUAGAAUACCUGGGACAAAGAGGUCUGGAGAAGAGACAUGUAGAUGAACAUACGAGAGUAGGCACAAGGUGUGAAGAUUUUUGUAUUGUAUAUUAAUGCCCACCCAAAAGCACCCACAUAGCAUGGGCAUCAAAUAACCAAGAGGGCAAAAUAACUUGACCAGUUGUCAUUCACUGACAUGAUAGGUAAACAGAUGACAUGGCCACAGUGGCAGAGAUGGAGGCUUUGCAUGGAUCAAAAAAACACAGACUCCCACUUAGAAAGGCCAAUCUAAUGAUUGCCUGCUUUGAAUGUUCAACCUGCCAGCAACGGACAGCAAUAAUGAGCCCCUAGUAUGGAUGGCACUACUCCUUAAGGAGAUUAACCGGUCACUUGGUAGCAAAAGCUCCUUUCAUCCUAGAAGAGCCAAAGAUUUUUCUCACAGGAAUAGAUACUUAAUCUGAGUAUGGGUUUGCCCUUCUGCCUGCAGUGCCUCAGCUAGCACCACUAUCAAGCCACUUACAGAAUGCCUGAUCUACAGACACGAAACAACUUAGUAUCCAGCAAGGGAAUCCAUUUUAGAGACCCACUGGCCAUGUCAUAGACUGUGUCAUUUAAAAGCUGCUGGCUAAAUACAGUUGGUAUGGUGUGCUGAAGGUACAGCUGAAGCACCAGCUCAAAUGCCACACUCUGCAAGGAUGCGAGUACCAUCCUUAAGGAUGUGGAUACAUGCUGAAUUACAGAACUUUAUAUGGCACUAUGUCUCCAAGAGGGAAAACUCAUGGAUCCAGGAACCAAGGGAGGGAAGCAGGAGUGGCCUCACUUACCAUCACUUUCAGUGACUCACUAGGGGUCCCCACAGCUCUGGAUUCUGCAGGGUUAGAGGUCCUGGUCCCCAGAAAGGGUGUGUUUUUGGCAGAGGAUGGCAAAAAUCCCAUUGAACAAUAAGCUACAGCUCCACUUGGACACUCCGGGCUCUGUGCGGCCAGGAACCAGGAGGCAAGAAGAGGAACCACUUCUGUCAGGGGUAAUUGACCUUGAUCAGCAGGAGCAGGCAGAGCUGCUGUUACAUGAUGGGAGCAGGGAGGAACGUCCAUGGAACUCAGUUGACCCACUUGGGUGCCUCUUGGAAGGCUCUUGCCUAAUUGUGACAAAUGUAGUGAUGUAGUAAUGGAGCCUAGACACGGGUAAGAUUACCAGGAAUUCAGGCCCCUCAGGAAGGAUGGUUUGGGAAACACCACCAUGUGAGCCACUGAGGCCAGCAGAGAGUGAGGGACUUUCGAACAGUUAGUGGAGGAGAGAGACAAUGAGUAUCAGUUGUGGUUAUGAGACCACCUGUAGCCAUGGGGGCUAUAGUUCAUCUCUCUAAAUUCCCUCUUUUAAGUUUCCCCUCAGGAAGAGAGGCCCACCAGAACCCCAGAAGAGCUGCUCCACAACUGUGCUAUGAAGUGGAGCCACACGGGACACAAGUGUGUGCUUCUGGAAGAAUCUAACUGGAACAGAUGUGUCCAAGAGGCCCCUGAAUUCAAGCUGUUCCCUGCUCCCAAUCCUGGGAGGAUAACAAUUCCUAAGACAGAGGAAAUGAGAAACAUUGAAACAACUCUUUUGACAAAACACUGUGGCCAGCGCAUUGGGGAAAAAUACUUCACACCUAUAUGAUCACGAACCAAUUUUCUCUAGCACUAUUGUGAUAAGACAAUUUUAUAUCUGUGGGUAAAUAUUGCAAUUUUAAUAUACAUGUAAAUAAAAAUAUUUCCUAUAAACACAUUCUUUUAUUGUUCAUUCUUAGUAUUCAUACUUAUCUAUAAAAAUAUUUCCUAUAAACACAUUCUUU
Molecule: long non-coding RNA, 2919 nt
Filed under: Equus caballus (horse)
Lineage: Eukaryota; Metazoa; Chordata; Mammalia; Perissodactyla; Equidae
Description: lncRNA (ENSECAG00000054775.1)
Source: RNAcentral